This 465-nucleotide ribosomal RNA is filed under the name uncultured bacterium. Its description in RNAcentral is "partial 16S ribosomal RNA". It matches the Rfam family "Bacterial small subunit ribosomal RNA", at positions 28 to 507 of the family's 1533-position model. The record is from RNAcentral.
GACGAACGCUGGCGGCGUGCUUAACACAUGCAAGUCGAACGGAAAGGCCCUGCUUGCAGGGUACUCGAGUGGCGAACGGGUGAGUAACACGUGGGUGAUCUGCCCUGCACUUCGGGAUAAGCCUGGGAAACUGGGUCUAACACCGGAUAGGAGCCAUUUUUAGUGUGAUGGUUGGAAAGUUUUUUCGGUGUAGGAUGAGCUCGCGGCCUAUCAGCUUGUUGGUGGGGUAAUGGCCUACCAAGGCGGCGACGGGUAGCCGGCCUGAGAGGGUGGACGGCCACAUUGGGACUGAGAUACGGCCCAGACUCCUACGGGAGGCAGCAGUGGGGAAUAUUGCACAAUGGGCGCAAGCCUGAUGCAGCGACGCCGCGGGGGGGAUGACGGCCUUCGGGUUGUAAACUCCUUUCGCUAGGGACGAAGCUUUUUGUGACGGUACCUAGAGAAGAAGCACCGGCUAACUACGUG